This 252-nucleotide ribosomal RNA is filed under the name uncultured bacterium. RNAcentral describes it as "partial 16S ribosomal RNA". It matches the Rfam family "Bacterial small subunit ribosomal RNA", at positions 524 to 776 of the family's 1533-position model. The record is from RNAcentral.
UACAGAGGUCCCAAGCGUUGUUCGGAUUCAUUGGGCGUAAAGGGUGCGUAGGCGGCGCGGUAAGUCGGGUGUGAAAUCUCGGAGCUUAACUCCGAAACUGCAUUCGAUACUGCCGUGCUUGAGGACUGGAGAGGAGACUGGAAUUUACGGUGUAGCGGUGAAAUGCGUAGAUAUCGUAAGGAAGACCAGUGGCGAAGGCGGGUCUCUGGACAGUUCCUGACGUGAGGCACGAAGGCCAGGGGAGCAAACGGG